RNAcentral lists this ribosomal RNA (468 nucleotides) under uncultured bacterium. RNAcentral describes it as "partial 16S ribosomal RNA". It matches the Rfam family "Bacterial small subunit ribosomal RNA", at positions 28 to 507 of the family's 1533-position model. The record is from RNAcentral.
GACGAACGCUGGCGGCGUGCUUAACACAUGCAAGUCGAACGGAAAGGCCCUGCUUUUGUGGGGUGCUCGAGUGGCGAACGGGUGAGUAACACGUGAGUAACCUGCCCUUGACUUUGGGAUAACUUCAGGAAACUGGGGCUAAUACCGGAUAGGAGCUCCUGCUGCAUGGUGGGGGUUGGAAAGUUUCGGCGGUUGGGGAUGGACGCGCGGCUUAUCAGCUUGUUGGUGGGGUAGUGGCUUACCAAGGCUUUGACGGGUAGCCGGCCUGGGAGGGUGACCGGCCACAUUGGGACUGAGAUACGGCGCAGACUCGUACGGGAGGCAGCAGUGGGGAAUAUUGCACAGUGGGCGGAAGCCGGAGGCAGCAACGCCGCGUGCGGGAUGACGGCCUUCGGGUUGUAAACCGCUUUCGCCUGUGACGAAGCGUGAGUGACGGUAAUGGGUAAAGAAGCACCGGCUAACUACGUG